GACAAGAAAUGAGUCUUCGAAUUUGUAAUUUCCCGUUCCAUCCAAAAUUCGCGCUACAACCUCGCGCCCAAAGGUCAACACGAAUCUUCGCUCGUACAGAGAACGAUUCUCCACAACAACAACAACAACUCAAUCUCUCUGUUCUUCGCUUCACUUUCGGAAUUCCUGGGCUAGACGAAUCUUAUCUACCGAGAUGGAUCGGGUACGGGUUUGGAUCACUUCUUCUUCUUAACCACUUCUCAGCUUCUGCUCCAAUCAGUGAAUCUCAAAUGAGAUCAGAGGCUUUGGGAUUAUCACUUGCUUCGUUUUCAAUAGCUUUACCUUACAUUGGUAAAUUCCUUAAGGGCUCUGUAGUGGAGCAGAGAACUCUACCUGAAGAAGGAGAGCAGAUUUUUGUGAUAUCAUCAAAUAUUGGAGAUUCUUUGAAGGAGGAUUUAGCAUGGGCAACGUAUGUUUUGUUGAGGAAUACAAGUACUAUAGCUGUGUUGAUAUUGGUUCAAGGCGAGCUUUGUGUUCGCGGGUACUGGAAUUGUCCAGAUCAGAUGUCAAAGGCUCAACUACAUGAUUGGUUUAAGAAAAAAGUGGAUGAGAUUGGCUUGGCUGAUGUGAAGGAUACCCUUUAUUUCCCUCAAUAUGCAGGUUCUGCACUAUCUUGGGAUAUUCUUCCCGAUGGGACGCGUUCUCUUUUUAUGCAACCUCUUGUACAAAAUAUAAGUGAACCGCAGAAAGUGAAUGGGUUUUUGCUGGUGGCUUCUACUGCUGGGUAUGCAUAUAGCGAUAAAGAUAGAGCCUGGAUUGGAGCUAUGGCUGAGAAAUUCAGAGGAUGACAUUAGCUGUUCAUGAUAAUGUAAUCUUUGACCCGAAUCUUGAUUGGUGACUGGCGAAACACUUCAGUUCUUACAGGAAUUUCUCAAGGCCAUAAACCAGAUUCUGCAUAACAAAAAGAGAAUAACGGCAAGUGAUUAGAUAACAAUCUGACCAAGAUUUGAUAUGUUGUUUGCAAUUUGGAUAGCUUCUGGAGAAGGAAAAUCCUGCAUUUGAUAGUGGAAGGAGGCCAUGAUCACAGCCUGUUGGAGAAGUAUAGAUCCUAUGGAUAGAGUUGGUGCUACAAGGCAUCCCUAUAGUGCAAGCAGAGACGAAAUUUGAUUGACGUGGGCAGACUCGACCUCACAAAGAAAGGGAACAUAAUGAAUUUUCUGCGAGUAUCUCAUCUCACCAUGUGCUCACCAUGGUGGCCUUGUCACAUAGUGCAGACAACGCAGAUACUGUCUCUGGCUUAAUCCGAGGUUGAGAAGCCGAGCAGGAAAAGGAAGGCCUUGAGGGUUUGAGAUGUCUUGAUAGCUUGAAGAAGUGGCAGUUCACAGCUGCCAUUGCUCUAACCUAGGAGAUAGCUUUUGUGUUUCUUUUUGUUGCUUGAUGGUUUUCUCAUGUUGAUAAGAGAUUUUUUUGCACUGUCAUUUGUCUUCUACUUCAAACGAUGUCGUCUCUGUUUGAGGCGUUUGGAAGGAUAAGGUACUUGACUC
This is an RNA transcript of Arabidopsis lyrata subsp. lyrata, 1523 nucleotides long. It is a transcript of the gene named protein COFACTOR ASSEMBLY OF COMPLEX C SUBUNIT B CCB2, chloroplastic, with no coding region annotated. The transcript is spliced from 10 exons. Lineage: Eukaryota; Viridiplantae; Streptophyta; Magnoliopsida; Brassicales; Brassicaceae. The record is from RefSeq and is a predicted model, not a curated record.